AUUGCUUCUCUGCCUUUUAGCUUAGAGUAUGUGUAGUUUCUGUUCUUAUCAGUUUAAUAUCUGAUAUUUCCCUAAAGUGGGGAGUUUUGUCUUAACUUGAUUGGAGCUAGGAGAUGGAUUAGGGGCUUGCUCUGUCCAUUCCUGAUGAAGGGCUUUUGCCCGAAACAUGGAUUCUCCUGCUCCUC
This is a small nuclear RNA of Hemiscyllium ocellatum (epaulette shark), 185 nucleotides long. RefSeq annotates it as U2 spliceosomal RNA. The record is from RefSeq and is a predicted model, not a curated record. The transcript has a single exon. NCBI's taxonomy places the organism in Eukaryota, Metazoa, Chordata, Chondrichthyes, Orectolobiformes, Hemiscylliidae.